GGGCUCCGUUGGUAGAGCAUCUGUUUUGCGAGCAGAAAGCCCCAGGUUCAAUCCUUUGAAACA
RNAcentral lists this transfer RNA (63 nucleotides) under Podarcis lilfordi (Lilford's wall lizard). RNAcentral's name for it is "tRNA.Ala". The record is from RNAcentral. Lineage: Eukaryota; Metazoa; Chordata; Lepidosauria; Squamata; Lacertidae.